UACAGGGGGGGCAAGCGUUGUUCGGAAUUACUGGGCGUAAAGGGCCAGUAGGCGGCCAACUAAGUCCGACGUGAAAUCCCAAAGCUUAACUUUGGAACUGCGUCGGAUACUGGAUGGCUUGAAUUCGGGAGAGGGAUGCAGAAUUCCAGGUGUAGCGGUGAGAUGCGUAGAUAUCUGGAGGAACACCGGUGGCGAAGGCGGCAUCCUGGACCGGUAUUGACGCUGAGGCGCGAAAGCUAGGGGAGCAAACGGG
This 253-nucleotide ribosomal RNA is filed under the name uncultured bacterium. RNAcentral describes it as "partial 16S ribosomal RNA". It matches the Rfam family "Bacterial small subunit ribosomal RNA", at positions 524 to 776 of the family's 1533-position model. The record is from RNAcentral.